UACGUAGGGGGCAAGCGUUGUCCGGAAUCAUUGGGCGUAAAGAGCGUGUAGGCGGCUCGGUAAGUCCGCUGUAAAAGUCCAGGGCUCAACCCUGGAAAGCCGGUGGAAACUGUCGAGCUAGAGUCCGGAAGAGGCGAGUGGAAUUCCUGGUGUAGCGGUGAAAUGCGCAGAUAUCAGGAGGAACACCAAUGGCGAAGGCAGCUCGCUGGGACGGUACUGACGCUGAGAGACGAAAGCUAGGGGAGCAAAUGGG
RNAcentral lists this ribosomal RNA (253 nucleotides) under uncultured bacterium. RNAcentral's name for it is "partial 16S ribosomal RNA". It matches the Rfam family "Bacterial small subunit ribosomal RNA", at positions 524 to 776 of the family's 1533-position model. The record is from RNAcentral.